Long non-coding RNA from Oreochromis aureus, 515 nucleotides. RefSeq lists it as uncharacterized. The record is from RefSeq and is a predicted model, not a curated record. Lineage: Eukaryota; Metazoa; Chordata; Actinopteri; Cichliformes; Cichlidae. The transcript has 6 exons.
AGAUGAUGUUUCCGGCUGAGGACAUUUGGUUGUGCCCACUGAACUUUGGUUGUCAAAAUCUCCUCACAAUCUGUACUGCUGUUGGACCCUCUUGGAAAUGAAGGUUGUUAUGAAAGGAAAAUUAUGCGUAACUGGAGGAAUUUUCUGAAGAUGAAAGGAAAGGAAGAGUCCCGAGUGGAUUGGAAAAUGGAGACUCUGACUGUGUCCGAAUUCAGGGGAAGGAUGCUCAUAAGGACACUACCUACCUACGUCACAAGUUUGCCGAACACUACCUUCUGAGUGGAGAGGUUACUAGGGUGCUGUCCACUCCAGAAGCCGUUGGGCUGCAACGCACUGAAAUUGCUUGCGAACUGCUAGAACAUCAAGGUAAUGCUGAUGACUACUGUGUGGUUUGUUCCAUGCUGGAAGGCGAUGCUGAGUCCAGUAUGAUUGAAAUGGUGCAGUGUGACUUUUGUCUCAGAUGGGCACAUUUUGGAUGUGCUCAAUAUGAGAGCAGCCUGGUCAAGUACUUGUGU